AAGGAAUAUUGGACAAUGGUCGCAAGACUGAUCCAGCCAUGCCGCGUGCAGGAUGAACGAUCUAUGAUCUGUAAACUGCUUUUGUUCGGGAAUAAACCCCUUCACGUGUGGAGGGCUGAAUGUACCGAAAGAAUAAGGGUCGGCUAACUUCGUGCCAGCAGCCGCGGUAAGACGAAGGACCCAAGCGUUAUCCGGAUUUAUUGGGUUUAAAGGGUGCGUAGGCGGGUUGUUAAGUCAGUGGUGAAAGCCUAGAGCUUAACUCUAGAAUUGCCAUUGAUACUGACGAUCUUGAGGAUAGUUGAGGUGGGCGGAAUGUAUCAUGUAGCGGUGAAAUGCUUAGAGAUGAUACAGAACACCGAUUGCGAAGGCAGCUCACUAAGCUAUUUCUGACGCUGAGGCACGAAAGCGUGGGGAUCAAAC
Molecule: ribosomal RNA, 420 nt
Filed under: uncultured bacterium
Lineage: Bacteria
Description: bacterial SSU rRNA
Rfam family: Bacterial small subunit ribosomal RNA
Source: RNAcentral